Molecule: ribosomal RNA, 221 nt
Filed under: uncultured bacterium
Lineage: Bacteria
Description: partial 16S ribosomal RNA
Rfam family: Bacterial small subunit ribosomal RNA
Source: RNAcentral
CAACGUGGGUGACCUGCCCUUAGCUCUGGGAUAAGCCUAGGAAACUGGGUCUAAUACCGGAUAUGACUCCAUGACGCAUGUUGUGGGGUGGAAAGCCUUGUGCGGCUAGGGAUGGGCCCGCGGCCCAUUAGCUUGUUGGUGGGGUAAUGGCCUACCAAGGCGACGAUGGGUAGCUGGUCUGAGAGGACGAUCAGCCACACUGGGACUGAGACACGGCCCAG